Molecule: ribosomal RNA, 1632 nt
Filed under: Triticum aestivum (bread wheat)
Lineage: Eukaryota; Viridiplantae; Streptophyta; Magnoliopsida; Poales; Poaceae
Description: partial small subunit ribosomal RNA
Source: RNAcentral
AUGUCCAGCGCCCACGGCGGAGCCAUGGACGCCCGCAGCGGCUACUGCGCAACAACCAAGUCAUUCCGCAGUCUCCGCCCACCGCUGCCUCUGCCACCAGCGGACGUCCCACUCACAUUCCCUGCCUUCGCGCUGUCGCUGCUGCCGUACCCUCUCCCCGCCCACCCCGCGCUCCUCGACGCCGCCACCGGCGAGUCCGUCUCCUACCCGGCGUUCCUGUCCCAGGUGCGCGCGCUCGCGGCCGCCCUGCGCUCGCGCGCGCUCCCGGUCGGCCGCGGCGACGUGGCCUUCGUCCUUGCCCCCACGCGGCUCGACGUGCCCGUGCUCUACUUCGCGCUCCUCGCCGUCGGCGUCGCCGUGUCCCCGGCCAACCCGGCCCUCACCGCCGGCGAGGUGUCUCGCCUCGUCUCCCUGUCCGGCGCCUCCGUCGCCUUCGCGGUCUCGUCCACCGCCGCCAAGCUCCCCGCCGGCCUCCCCACCGUCCUCCUCGACUCCCCGCACUUCCGCUCCCUCUUGAACAACGACCAAGGGGAGAACGAGUCGGCCCCGCUCGACGCCGGUGCGGUGCGCCAGUCCGCGACAGCGACCAUCCAGUACUCCUCCGGCACGUCAGGGCGGGUGAAGGCGGUGGCCCUGUCGCACAGGAGCUUCAUAGCGAUGGGGGCGGGGCUGCACGCCCAGCACGUGAAGUCGAGGAAGGGCGUCGAGAGGAAUCUGAUGAGUGCUCCCAUGUUCCACUCCAUGGGUUUCUCGUCCGUGCUCAACGGGCUGGCGCAGGGGCUUACGAUGGUCGUGAUUACGGCCGCGGCCGCGCGGGCAGGGUUGAGGGGGAUGCUGGAGGCAGCGGAGCGGUGGGAGGUCACGGAGAUCAUGGCGGCGCCUCCCUUGCUGCUGGGCAUAACCAAAGACAGGUGCCGGCUGAAGAGUCUGGUGCGGGUGGUCUGCGGCGGCGCCCCUCUGCCGACGUCGGUGGCGGAGCAGUUCCGUCGGCGCUUCCCUCACGUGGAUCUACGCACGGGUUAUGGCUCAACUGAGGCUGGGGUCGUAUCCGUGAUGGUCGACCGGGACGAGUGCUCCCACGUAGGCUCCGCCGGCCGCAUCUUCCACGGCAUCGAGGCGAAGAUCAUCGACAUCGUCACCGGCGAGCACUUGUCCAUCGGGCAGAAAGGGGAGCUGUGUUUGAGAAGCCCUUUCAUCAUGACAGGCUACGUAGGCGACGACGAGGCGACCGCAGCCGCUUUCGAUUCGGAAAGCUGGCUGAAGACCGGCGACCUUUGCUACAUUGAUCAGGAUGGGUUUCUGUUCGUGGUGGACAGGCUCAAGGAGCUCAUCAAGUACAAGGCCUAUCAGGUCGCGCCUGUAGAGCUGGAGCUUAUCCUUCAAUCGUUGCCAGAAAUUGUUGAUGCUGCAGUUAUGCCAUAUCCUCACGAAGAGGCGGGAGAGAUACCCAUGGCGCUCGUGGUGAGGCAACCCGGUAGCAAGAUCACUGAGGCACAAGUCAUGGAGCAUGUGGCGAAGCAGGUGGCGCCGUACAAGAAGGUCCGCAAGGUGCUCUUCAUCGACUCCAUACCCAGAUCGCCGGCCGGGAAGAUCUUGAGAAGGCAGUUGUCCAGCCAUCUGUCCAGACUGUGA